RNAcentral lists this ribosomal RNA (490 nucleotides) under uncultured bacterium. RNAcentral describes it as "partial 16S ribosomal RNA". It matches the Rfam family "Bacterial small subunit ribosomal RNA", at positions 30 to 507 of the family's 1533-position model. The record is from RNAcentral.
AUUGAACGCUGGCGGCAGGCCUAACACAUGCAAGUCGAACGGUAACAGGAAGAAGCUUGCUUCUUUGCUGACGAGUGGCGGACGGGUGAGUAAUGUCUGGGAAACUGCCUGAUGGAGGGGGAUAACUACUGGAAACGGUAGCUAAUACCGCAUAACGUCGCAAGACCAAAGAGGGGGACCUUCGGGCCUCUUGCCAUCGGAUGUGCCCAGAUGGGAUUAGCUAGUAGGUGGGGUAACGGCUCACCUAGGCGACGAUCCCUAGCUGGUCUGAGAGGAUGACCAGCCACACUGGAACUGAGACACGGUCCAGACUCCUACGGGAGGCAGCAGUGGGGAAUAUUGCACAAUGGGCGCAAGCCUGAUGCAGCCAGGCCGCGUGUAUGAAGAAGGCCUUCGGGUUGUAAAGUACUUUCAGCGGGGAGGAAGGGAGUAAAGUUAAUACCUUUACUCAUUGACGUUACCCGCAGAAGAAGCACCGGCUAACUCCGUG